CAUGAGUAAAUCUGUUAUGUUUU
This 23-nucleotide small nuclear RNA is filed under the name Arabidopsis thaliana (thale cress). Its description in RNAcentral is "snRNA_17507". The record is from RNAcentral. Lineage: Eukaryota; Viridiplantae; Streptophyta; Magnoliopsida; Brassicales; Brassicaceae.